GGGCCCGCACAAGCAGUGGAGUAUGUGGUUUAAUUCGAAGCAACGCGAAAAACCUUACCAGGUCUUGACAUCGAGUGACGAGCUAAGAGAUUAGCUUUUCCUUCGGGACACAAAGACAGGUGGUGCAUGGUUGUCGUCAGCUCGUGUCGUGAGAUGUUGGGUUAAGUCCCGCAACGAGCGCAACCCUUACCAUUAGUUGCUACGAAAGAGCACUCUAGUGGGACUGCCGUUGACAAAACGGAGGAAGGUGGGGAUGACGUCAAAUCAUCAUGCCCUUUAUGACCUGGGCUACACACGUACUACAAUGGCAAUUAACAGAGGGAAGCAAUAUAGUGAUAUGGAGCAAAACCCCAAAAAUUGUCUCAGUUCAGACUGUAGGCUGCAACUCGCCUACACGAAGUCGGAAUUGCUAGUAAUCGCAGAUCAGCAUGCUGCGGUGAAUACGUUCCCGGGCCUU
This 457-nucleotide ribosomal RNA is filed under the name uncultured bacterium. RNAcentral describes it as "bacterial SSU rRNA". It matches the Rfam family "Bacterial small subunit ribosomal RNA", at positions 917 to 1382 of the family's 1533-position model. The record is from RNAcentral.